Molecule: non-coding RNA, 73 nt
Organism: Podarcis lilfordi (Lilford's wall lizard)
Lineage: Eukaryota; Metazoa; Chordata; Lepidosauria; Squamata; Lacertidae
Source: the annotation of a GenBank genome assembly
GCCACAUUGGCUUGGUCAGUAGAGCAUGCAGUUCUUGAUAUCAGCGCUGUGGGUUCGAGCCCCACAUUGGGCA